CCCCCUUUUUCUUUUCUUUUUGGUCAUACAAAAUAUGUAGAGUGAUCCAAGUGCCAAGCAAUUCAUUACUACUUCAGGCCAUGUUUGGUUGCCAUGAAUGGGAAUUAGUGAUGGUUUUCCCAUUACAAGAAAUCCAUUCCUAGAAAUUAUCGGAAGUGACCAAUUCUCAUUCCUAUGUUUGGAUAAAUCUAGAUAAUCCCAAGACAAUAAAGCAAACCUUGUAGUGUACAAUAAAAAAAUAGGCAGCCCCUUGUAGAAGGCUC
Molecule: long non-coding RNA, 263 nt
Filed under: Elaeis guineensis (African oil palm)
Lineage: Eukaryota; Viridiplantae; Streptophyta; Magnoliopsida; Arecales; Arecaceae
Description: long non-coding RNA (EGUI_LNC006941)
Source: RNAcentral